GACAGAGGUCCCGAGCGUUAGGCGGAAUCACUGGGCUUAAAGCGUGUGUAGGCGGAUGCCUAAGUACCUUGUGAAAUCCCACGGCUCACCCGUGGAACUGCUUGGUAUACUGGGUGUCUUGAGCCACUUAGGGGCUACCGGAACAAAUGGUGGAGCGGUGAAAUGCGUAGAGAUGUGGAGGAACACCGAUGGCGAAGGCAGCCUUCUGGGCCAAUACUGACGCUCAUGCACGAAAGCGUGGGGAGCAAACAGG
RNAcentral lists this ribosomal RNA (253 nucleotides) under uncultured bacterium. RNAcentral describes it as "partial 16S ribosomal RNA". It matches the Rfam family "Bacterial small subunit ribosomal RNA", at positions 524 to 776 of the family's 1533-position model. The record is from RNAcentral.